AUACCCGCGCCCCAAGUGGUGGUCGAUAUUAUUGAGCCUAAAACGUCCGUAGCCGGUCUUCUAAAUCCUUGGGUAAAUCGGGCAGCUUAACUGUCCGAAGUCCGGGGAGACUGGGAGACUUGGGACCGGGAGAGGUCAGAGGUACUUCUGGGGUAGGGGUAAAAUCCUGUAAUCCUGGAAGGACCACCGGUGGCGAAGGCGUCUGACUAGAACGGAUCCGACGGGGAGGGACGAAGCCCUGGGGCGCAAACGGGAUUAGAUACCCCGGUAGUCCAGGGUGUAAACGCUGCGGGCUUGGUGUUGGGGGUCCUUAGUGGGCGCCCAGUGCCGGAGAGAAGUUGUUAAGCCUGCUGCUUGGGGAGUAUGUCCGCAAGGAUGAAACUUAAAGGAAUUGGCGGGG
This 400-nucleotide ribosomal RNA is filed under the name uncultured bacterium. RNAcentral describes it as "partial 16S ribosomal RNA". It matches the Rfam family "Archaeal small subunit ribosomal RNA", at positions 473 to 873 of the family's 1478-position model. The record is from RNAcentral.